GUUGCCUGAUGAGCUGUUUGUGAACAUUGCUGUUGCAAUUGGUGCGCAAAUAAACAAGUUCCUGAGCUUCCUUCAAGAUCUGUCUUGUGAAAGAAACUUGAAGCAUUUUGUAGUGGUAUGUGAAACUUUUCUGCAUAUCCAUUCAAAUAGCUAUGAUCAACACACAUUAUGAUAGUAUGAUCAAUUUCAGUCUUCCACAUUUAAGCACUAUUAUUCUAUCUGACCGUCCCAAACAGUCAUUUUAAUUGAGGUGCUAUGUUUUCUUUCAGGCGAUUGCUGGACUGUGGGCUGCUGCAGUGAUUGGAAGUUGGUGCAAUUUCCUGACAGUUAUAUAUAUUGGUAAGAAGGCUAUAGCCUGUAACUUCCGUUCUUGUCAGCCACAAUUUUACAUUUUUGCCAGUCGGCAGUGAGAAAGAAUACUCUAUUCCUAUUUUCUAAAUGCAAGUAUUUCAGCUAAUGUAGUACUGACAAAGAUAUUGGAUUACCUGGAACAGGAUUUGUUUGUGCUCACACACUUCCAGUGCUCUACGAGAAGUAUGAAGACCAAGUCGACAAUUUCCUCUACAGCCUUCUUGGUCUGCUGCAAGAUCAGUAUCAGAAGCUCGACCAAGGUGUCUUGAGCAAGAUACCCA
This 632-nucleotide long non-coding RNA is filed under the name Setaria italica (foxtail millet). Its description in RNAcentral is "long non-coding RNA (SITA_LNC006440)". The record is from RNAcentral. Lineage: Eukaryota; Viridiplantae; Streptophyta; Magnoliopsida; Poales; Poaceae.